AGAAAGAGUUCUGCAGAUGGGUGGAGGUGAAGGUUGCACAACAAUGUGAAUGUGCUGAAUGCUGCUGAACUGCACACUUCAAAACGGAAACGACGGGCGUCUGCGCCUGAGAUGGAAUACAACAGCAAAAACAGCCUGAAGUGACCGAAAUUCCUGUGGCCAAAUGACUGCUGCAUGGCCCCGAUGCUCUCUCUCAAGGCUAAGACAUCAAAGCCAGGAGCAGCUGAAGACAACGCUGUUUCACAAAGGAGCAAACCAAAAGGAUAAAGACCCUGAUGAAAUUCCUCCAGGAAGAUAAGGCUUGAAACCCCACAGCCAGACUCACCCUGGGGUAGACACAUCCAGAGCUAGGAUUUCGUGAGCUGCCCUCACCAGACUGGAGGAAGACCCUGAGCUGAAAAAUGGGACACAGCCUGGAUUGGGCUUGGGGUGAUGCGAACAUGCAGGAGACAGGUAGGAGGAAAGACACCACAGCAAGGGAGGAUCUGGGCCUCUGGCCAUUGAGGCCCCACAACAGGCAUUCCUGGGGUGGCCACACCAUGACACAACCUUUCCCAUGAUUCCCUGUGUGCACGGCCGCUCACCCUCAGCCGGAUCAUAAACUAUUCAGGAAGAAAGGUCAUGACACAUCUCGUGCCCCCGUCAGCACUGAGUAUACAGGCUGUGACUGGUCAAUACUUGUUGAGUGGUUUGAACUUCCAGGCCACUCACCGUCAUUACCAUCUUCGGUAGCAGAGGGGAAGAAAGGGCAUUUCACUAUGUGCAGCCUGAGGAAGCCAUCAACAGCCAGAAUAACUGUCUUCCUUCACUCUUUACACAUUUGUGUUUGGUGGUUCUGUUCCUUAAUUUGAGGAGAGUGCAUCCAAGGCGAGCAUUUUGAUUAAAAGCUGCUAUAAAAGCAACAACUGAAGAGACCAGCUCACCUCCUGAAUCUGUGCCAGAUGAUUUGCACAGCUGGCCAGUUACACAGAUGUCUGGCUCAAAUAAGGAGAAACAGACCAUUCUACCUUGCAGGGACUUGCAUCACAUUCAAAGCUGACUUUUCAAACUCCAAGUGCUGGCACUAAUCCCUGUUCUAAUUAAGUAGGCACAGCUCUCAGAAACAGGCAGCGUUUUUUGGCUGGGAUAACCGUGACUCUUCCACACAAGAAUCUGGUUCUGAAAGCGCCUGUCAGGGAAAGCUGCUGGAUCUUGUCCAAGCAGUGCAUUCCGAACGCUUUCCGUGUUCCUUGGAAAAGCUCCACCAGGUGUGCUGGCGCCCUGUUCUUCAGCAGGGAUACUGCAGAAUUUCAUCCGGGGCCUCACACUCGGAAGCAAAGAGGAACGACUGGGGGGAAUGCGAGGAGGACACAGACCACAACUCCACCACUCACGGUGGGAAGGGCAGGCGCCGCGGGGCUAUGACAGAAACAGAUUCCUAGAACAAUGCACACGGUUUCUAUUCAACUUACAGAGAAGGGCCAAGAAGCAACCUCUUAAAAUUCUUCCAGCAAAUGACAAGACAUUAAAUGGAUAAAAUAGAAGACUACUCUCCUCCCUCCCUUUGAAGGCAGAAUAUAAAGUAAUGAAGGAAGUUAAGGAGACAAACGCAGGUACUUUGAGACGCUGGUGACUGGUGAAUCCCGGAACUUCUGCGGCAGAAGACUCCGCAACCUUCUUCUCUGGCUGACUGGAAACACAGUAUUGAUUUCUACCUUUACAAAGCAGACACUAUGUAGUCCAGCCAAGGGCAAGGCACUGACCACAAGACCUGCAGGCUUCCCUCUAGACCCUGUUAUUUCAUGACCACGUAUUUUAACAAUUGGAGUUUUUGCCACGCAUUCCAAUUACACCCUUGUUAGUUGCUCAAUGCCUUAGUGAAAACCUUCAGAUUCUACUGGCUGCCCUUCACAAACAGUCUGAAAUGCUCUGCCACAGGUAUCUUGUUAGAAAUAAGCAUGGAUCACGCCAUGCAGGCGGAAGGUUGCCCAGCUUACCUUCAUGGCCAGGAUUCUUUGAGGCCUACGCUUCGCGGUCUGCACGGUGUUGCCAUUUCAUCUUCAUCAGGCCUGUUGUGUUGCACAGGCAGCGAAUAUGACUCCAAGCACUCCGCAGCUCAAAAAAUGCAGAUACACACGUCACCGCUAGCUGGAACUAGGGUUCAUCUUCCCUGGUCAGAGCUUGGAAAGGUUUGAAGCUAGCCCUGCAGAGAGGAGAGUGGAAAUAAAUUAUGAAGCAAGCUAAAUAGAGAAUUCAGUUCUGGAUUUUUGAAAAAACAACCAGCAGAAUAUACUAAUGUAAAAAUAAAUGGCCACUAUUUGCUCAACCAUUUAUUUGCGCUAAGAGAAAAUACUAACGAGAAUAACAAAGUAAUUGAAACAGGUAACAGGUCUUGUUUUCAAAGUCAUAGAUCAGUGUCAACUUUGUAAUUCUCUGCUCUGGGCUCAAAAUGCACAGGAUGAAGUCCUGACCCCAGUACCUCAGAAUGGGACUGUAUUUGGAGAUAGGGCCUUCAUAGCAGUAAUUAAGGUAUAAUGAGGUCAUAUGGGUGGGCUCUAAUCCAGUAUGACUGGUGCUCUUAUAAGCAAGGAUUAGGACACAGACAAUAUAGGAGGUUGACCGUGUGAGGAUGCAGUAAGAAGGCAGAAGGCAGUUGGUUGUAAACCAAGGAGCAAGGCAUCAGAAAAAACCAUCCCUGCAGACUCCCUGAUCUCGGACUCCCAGCCCCCAACACUGGGACAAUCAGGUCUGUUGCUUAAUCCCCCAGGCUGUGGUAUUUUGUGAUAGCAGCCUGAAAGAAGACACUCCCCCAUCCCCUCACUCCCAUUUUUGAACAGUGGCUGGUUUUUGAUCAACUUCACUUGACUCUUCCUUCUCACCCUCACUUCAUUUUGCUCCAGAGAGCCCCUCACUAGCUCCUCCUUUCACUUGCCCUGCUUCCUUGUCUUUUAAAAGAGUUUCUCUCACAUUCUUCCCAGACAGAGCAGCCGCCUUGGGGAUGUGAGGGAGAGAAGGGAUCUUGCACCGAGCACCCCAGAGCUGGUGAGAGACCCAGCCUCCCAAAGUUCACACAUGUACCUGGUUUGCAAUGGCAGAAUAAAAACCAUGUGAAAUGGUCAGAAGAUGUACCUCUUCCUUUCUGGAUGACCCUGACUGACUCGUUCAACUUCUCUGAGCUUCGUUUUCUACCAUGUUUGAAAAAUGGUGAUGUGAAUUCUUGAAUGGUUGUUGUAAGGCUCAAUGAAGAUAAUGCAUUGAAAAACACUUCAUAUGCUAAUCACCACAACUCAAGUUUUUCUACCUAUGAAAUAGGUACUACCUAGCAUUUCACAGUAUAGUUUAAUGAGAAAAAAAAAAAAAAAAAGCAAUCAGCACAUAAGCAAAACUUUUGUGACUCAGAAUAGUAUCUAUAAAAGUAUUAUUUCUACUCUAGUUUUCAUCAGUGCAGUAAAGUUUAUUUUUGUUUUUUUCUGCCAGUUAAUAUUUAUGAAGAGUGUUGUAUUUGGUAUUAGGAAGAGAAUUCUAAAGACACAAAAGACCUGGUCCUUGCCUUCAGGGAUUCUGCAAUCUAUUUGAAAAAAUAAAAUUGUAAUAGCAAAAUAACGUAUAAAAUUAGUUCAAAGAGGUUUUCCAGGCUGCUGUGGAAAAUGCAUAGCUAAGUCUUCAUGCAGGACCAGCCCAGUCCAUACUUGAACUUUCUAGGACAACUUUCCAGAUAGAAAUUUUUCCUAUGACCUCUCUAAUGUGGCUGCAAGUGCAAACUAAGAAA
Macaca mulatta (Rhesus monkey) is the source of this 3748-nucleotide non-coding RNA. NCBI's taxonomy places the organism in Eukaryota, Metazoa, Chordata, Mammalia, Primates, Cercopithecidae. The record is from RefSeq and is a predicted model, not a curated record.